GGAGUCUGGGCCGUGUCUCAGUCCCAAUGUGGCCGAUCAACCUCUCAGUCCGGCUACCGAUCGCGGUCUUGGUGAGCCGUUACCUCACCAACUAACUAAUCGGACGCGAGUCCAUCUCUGAGCGAUAAAAUCUUUGAUAUAUCUGUCAUGCGGCAAAUAUAUGUUAUGCGGUAUUAGCGUUCUUUUCAGAACGUUAUUCCCCUCUCAGAGGCAGGUUACUCACGCGUUACUCACCCGUCCGCCACUAAACUAAAAAUCCGUCACUCCGAAGAGAUCCUUCAAAAUAGUUCCGUUCGACUUGCAUGUGUUAGGCACGCCGCCAGCGUUCGUCCUCGAGCCACUGAUCAAACUACU
This 354-nucleotide ribosomal RNA is filed under the name uncultured Ruminococcus sp. Its description in RNAcentral is "partial 16S ribosomal RNA". Lineage: Bacteria; Bacillati; Bacillota; Clostridia; Eubacteriales; Oscillospiraceae. The record is from RNAcentral.